Molecule: ribosomal RNA, 432 nt
Filed under: uncultured bacterium
Lineage: Bacteria
Description: bacterial SSU rRNA
Rfam family: Bacterial small subunit ribosomal RNA
Source: RNAcentral
UACGGAAGGCAGCAGUGGGGAAUAUUGCACAAUGGGCGAAAGCCUGAUGCAGCUAUGCCGCGUGUAUGAAGAAGGCCUUAGGGUUGUAAAGCUCUUUUAGUGAGAAAGAUAAUGACGGUACUCACAGAAGAAGUCCUGGCUAACUCCGUGCCAGCAGCCGCGGUAAUACGGAGAGGGCUAGCGUUAUUCGGAAUUAUUGGGCGUAAAGAGCGCGUAGGCUGAUUAGUAAGUUAAAAGUGAAAUCCCAAAGCUUAACUUUGGAAUUGCUUUUUAAAACUGCUAGUCUAGAGAUUGAAAGAGGAUAGAGGAAUUCCUAGUGUAGAGGUGAAAUUCGUAAAUAUUAGGAGGAACACCAGUGGCGAAGGCGUCUAUCUGGUUCAAAUCUGACGCUGAGGGCGCGAAGGCGUGGGGAGCAAACAGGGAUUAGAUACC